Molecule: transfer RNA, 85 nt
Filed under: Felis catus (domestic cat)
Lineage: Eukaryota; Metazoa; Chordata; Mammalia; Carnivora; Felidae
Rfam family: tRNA
About the family: Transfer RNA (tRNA) molecules are approximately 80 nucleotides in length.
Source: Rfam by way of RNAcentral
GCCUGGAUAGCUCAGUCGGUUAAGCAUCUGACUUCGGCUCAGAUCAUGAUCUUGUAGUUCGUGGGUUCGAGACCCGCAUCUGGCU